This 681-nucleotide ribosomal RNA is filed under the name Enterobacter sp. 6hR31. RNAcentral describes it as "bacterial SSU rRNA". It matches the Rfam family "Bacterial small subunit ribosomal RNA", at positions 66 to 741 of the family's 1533-position model. Lineage: Bacteria; Pseudomonadati; Pseudomonadota; Gammaproteobacteria; Enterobacterales; Enterobacteriaceae. The record is from RNAcentral.
GUAGCACAGAGAGCUUGCUCUCGGGUGACGAGCGGCGGACGGGUGAGUAAUGUCUGGGAAACUGCCUGAUGGAGGGGGAUAACUACUGGAAACGGUAGCUAAUACCGCAUAACGUCGCAAGACCAAAGAGGGGGACCUUCGGGCCUCUUGCCAUCAGAUGUGCCCAGAUGGGAUUAGCUAGUAGGUGGGGUAACGGCUCACCUAGGCGACGAUCCCUAGCUGGUCUGAGAGGAUGACCAGCCACACUGGAACUGAGACACGGUCCAGACUCCUACGGGAGGCAGCAGUGGGGAAUAUUGCACAAUGGGCGCAAGCCUGAUGCAGCCAUGCCGCGUGUAUGAAGAAGGCCUUCGGGUUGUAAAGUACUUUCAGCGAGGAGGAAGGCAUUAUGGUUAAUAACCUUAGUGAUUGACGUUACUCGCAGAAGAAGCACCGGCUAACUCCGUGCCAGCAGCCGCGGUAAUACGGAGGGUGCAAGCGUUAAUCGGAAUUACUGGGCGUAAAGCGCACGCAGGCGGUCUGUCAAGUCGGAUGUGAAAUCCCCGGGCUCAACCUGGGAACUGCAUUCGAAACUGGCAGGCUAGAGUCUUGUAGAGGGGGGUAGAAUUCCAGGUGUAGCGGUGAAAUGCGUAGAGAUCUGGAGGAAUACCGGUGGCGAAGGCGGCCCCCUGGACAAAGACU